This 27-nucleotide non-coding RNA is filed under the name Cricetulus griseus (Chinese hamster). Lineage: Eukaryota; Metazoa; Chordata; Mammalia; Rodentia; Cricetidae. The record is from RNAcentral.
CAGACUGUAACUGCCAGAGCAGCGCUU